GCUAUUUCACGUAUUUUAGGACGAGGUUUGAAGAAAAGUUACAACCACAAAAAGCAAUUUUUAAGUCGCCUAAUUUUGUUAGAUCGAAAACAAAUUUAUGUAAAACGUUGCACUGUAUACGCAAAUACAACAGCAAAAUAGCACGAUGUCUUCGAUUUUGUAAUAAAAAGAAUGAAGCUCACUUGGCCGCCAUAUUUGAACUUUGAAGUCGGUCAUGACUGCUGCUAUGCGCGGCGCGCAAAUUCAAGUCCAAAUGUGCUUUUAACAACCAUACGCGUUUUUUACUGGAGUGAGGAUUCUAGAUUGGGAAGACUACAACUUUUAUUGGUAAACAGAAGAGAUGGGUAUCAUUA
This is a non-coding RNA of Paramuricea clavata, 353 nucleotides long. Lineage: Eukaryota; Metazoa; Cnidaria; Anthozoa; Malacalcyonacea; Plexauridae. The record is from the annotation of a GenBank genome assembly.